UCCCUUCUAUCAGGUCCAUGCAUAGCUCUUUGUUGUACUGUGAUCUCUGUAAGCAAUGACCUCAAGUAGUCUUUAAAAAUGAACAAUACAAAACAAUAACAGCAAACUGAAUUUAACUUGCCAGGCAAGAAAGCAUACAAGUGAGGGGAGGGGUGGGAUUCACUAAGUGGGCAAAUUAAAGGUAUCUAACCGCUAGAAAGAGUGAAAGUAUGUUAUGUCAUUUCUUCUUAGUUAUGCUUAAUGUGAUUGAAAAGUCGUUUUCUGGUUAGGAAGGAAGAAGUCUAGGGAUCUUCAUACCAAUGAUUCAAACAAGAGGCAUUGUCACUGGUCAGUCCAGUGACAUAGUGAAUUCAGUCAAAGAUCCCUAAUAGCUUUUGCUGGUAAUAAUGCUUGUGAUAAAACACAGCAGUCAGUUUUCACAUUUCCUAUUCAAGGGCUGUUCUAGGUAGAAAAACUUACUCUACACCUGUAAAUUAAAAUUCAAGUUAUGUACCUUUAACACAUCCAAUAUGCAAUUGUACAGAGGUAAUGAGUAACCCAUUUCACAACCCGCAUUCGGAAAAGGAAGAAUGGGAAGCACAAGGCAGUCAUUAGUUGGGGAAGGAAUGAAGGCUCCUUUCACUGGCAGUAUAGUUAAUUCCUGUUAGACCAUCUGUUAGUGCCUGGAUUUGUUCUCUGGCGUGAGUUACCUUAUUCAUUUUUCUCCAUGGCCUCUGGAUCCUUCUUUCUGGAAGGUUUAUUUUUGUCCAUUAUACUCUCUGUCCACAUGUGAAGUUGGCAAUGAAACAGAUGUCCUUUUUAGAGGCUGAAUGGCUUUAAAAUGGCAAUUAUAUUGAUGUAGGUUUGUUGGCCUAAAAAUGAUUUUGAAGGGUUGCAGGCUAGUCUUGCAAAAAUUUUUGUUUUGUUUUGUUUUGUUUAAAUUUUUGCAGCAGAAUUCUCAACAACAACAAUUUUAGAACACUUCACUUUGCUCUUUCUGAUAGCCUUUUGAUCCUAUAUAGACCUGUUAGGUCUGAAGCUGUGAAGAGUUUCAGAUGUUGCCCUAUUUUCACAGUCAUAUAGAUAGAUAGAGACAGAUAAAUAGAAAGAUAUAGAUUUAAAUGGGUAUAAAGAUUGGAGGAUGGAUAGAGAGAUUGAUAAAAAUACAUACACUCACACACGCACACACAGUAGCAGAAAUAACAGAUAAUAAUCAGAGACAAAAAAACCUACUUUAUUUACUUUCAGAAUGCCUAGUGCUCUUGCUGUAUCCCUCAUGGGGCUUUGUAAUGAGAGGCAAAUGUUCCGUGAACACACAGAGUGGUCGGCACGACAGGACAGGGACUCUGAAAUGAUGAAUCAUGAAGCUUAUAUAGGUGCAGAUGCAUUUCCUGCUCCCCUCUGGCGUUAAGAGAAAGAGCUUAUCUUUUAUUCUGGAGUGUAAACACAUAUCCUCCUGCGAAAGAAGGAGCAAUUUUACAACCAGGAAUGUAAACCUUGGCUUCUGGAGAGAUAAGAAAGGCUUUAUUAUCCUUUGAACAGGAACAGGUGUCUCUGGUCAAAGGUGUAAAAAGGUUCCAUGUAUCUACCAACUUUAGACUGCAAAGAGCAGAUGGUAUUGGGGGAAAAGAAAAGGAGACAUGUUCUGUCAUUUUAAGAUGCAAAUUUCUGUUGCUUCUGAGUCUAGACUAAGUGGUAGCACCAAGCAAUCAAGAGAGGAUUGCCUUACAUUGAUCUCCUUACCAGAUGAAAUUUUAAGUCUGAACACUUACAUGAUUUGGGUUCUAGUCACAACCUCAUCUCUCCUGGUUUUGUGCUAAAUAACCAGAAAUCCUUUAAAAGGUGAGGGGCGGAGUGUGGGGUGAGACAGGAAUCCACAUCAGAUGUUUUACCCAGGCUGCUUUCCUUAGCUUGGCUAACUCAUAAUGACAGGCACUGGAAAAAGAUCAGAGUCACAGCUUUAUCUUUUGCUAAUGCUUUACCUUGGGAGCUGCUUCCCUGUACAAUAAAGAAGCAGUUGGCUUUUCAACCCAGAAAUAUGCCCCAUCACUGGACUGCUGUUAAUAAUUAAGUGUCUACUGUCUUCAGAGGUCUUCCUUGACAGAGCUACGCUCCUCUUCAUUCUUCUCAUCUCUCUUAGCAAGGGUUUCCGCAUAUGCUAAUUUACUCUUUCUUUUCAGAUUUUCCUGCUAGUGGCAAGAAUAUUUAACAUAUGAUAUGCUGUGAUUACCUCUGUGUUAGUUUGCUAGGUCAUUCAUCCCACAGCCUGGGUGGCUUAAACAACAUAAAUUUGUUUCCAAGAUCAAGUUAUCAGCUGGGCUGAUUUCUUACGAGACAUUUCUCUUUCCCUUAGAGAUAGCUGUCUUCACAUGGUCAUUCCUCUGUUUUGAGUCUAUUUCUUAAUCUUCUGUUGUAAGGACACAAGGCAUAUUGGAAGAGGCUCUACUCUAAUGACAUUAUUUUUAAUUAAUUACCCAUGGAAGUAAUUUAACCUCCACAUACCCUUACAUUCUGAGGUACCAGAAUGAGGUACUUCAACAUACACAUUUUGAAGAAACAUAUACCAGCCCAGAGCAAUUUCUUGUAACUUAUUAUCAUACAACUCCACUUGCACCUGAUCUGCCUUCUGAGGGAAAUAGGAUUUUUACCGUAUUUUACUAUUGCAUUAUAAGUUCAUAAUGAGAGUCCUUGCCAUCUGCUGCUGGACAAUUUCCAUCAAGCCAAUGACACGUAUUCUCUUACUUCCAGCAACCUAGUUCCAAAUUAAAAAUAAAUAAAUAAAUAAAUAACUGUAUCAGUCAAGAUUAGCUUCAUAUGUGAACGUCAAAGACAUCUCUUUAAAAUGGUAUAAAUGAAAUGCACAAUCUCACUUAAAUGGUCUUGAGGAGGUAGUACAGGCUUGUAAACUGGUUGAAUGCCUGUUUCCCAAGGAACAUAGUUCCUUUUAAUCUUGUUGCUCCUCUACUGUGGUUUUACUUAUAAGGUUAACAUUACGUCUGCAUCUCAACCACUGGGAAAGGAUGAAGGGUGAAAUGGUCUUUAUAUUUACUCUUUCAGAGAAUAUUUGUGGAAUUUGCCAUGUGGUAAUUCUACUUGUUUUCCAUCAGUUAUAAUUUAGUAACAAAGCCACACCCAGCUACAAGGGAAGCUGAGGGAUUUUGCCUUUCUUCUAGGUGACCAAAUGCCCUGACUGAAGCAGAGGAGCAUGAAUAUUGAGUGUUGGGAGCAACCAACAGACUCUAAUAUACAAAUGUUUGUAUUCAUGUGGGAGAUGAGUGAAAAAUGAUAAUUAUUUUUUGCAAUGCCCCUUUGACCCAGGGAGAAAAUAAGGCAAUUGAGAGAGAUGAGAUGAAGUCAUCUAACAACAUGAAAGCUGGUGGAGAUACUUUAGAAUGUGUGGCAGCAAGUGAGAGUAACUGGAGAAAUUUGAUCUAACUAGAUUUCCAGAGCACUUAUUACUUUCUAAUGCAGAUCUCUCCAGCACCUCUCCUAUGUGCUCAUUCUCCCUUUGUACAAUGAUUAGGAAAAUAUCAUUUUUAUAACUAUAUUGAUAUGGUAUUUUGGUUCCAAUGAUAUUUUGAUACAGCUCCUUUAUGAAAUAUUUCAAAAGAUUUUUUUUUUUUUUAGAGAAAAACAGCAGUAACUAUUUCAGUUUAAGGAAAUCCUACAGAAAUAUAUAAACUAAUCAUCAUCAUUACAAACCAGUCUUAACUUUUGUGAAGAUAAAUCCAGGAGAAAGCGGAGGAUAGAAAUGAAGUAAGGCUAAGUUAGGUGCUACGGGAUGAUGUUAAAGAUGAGAAGGGAGUUAGUCACUGUCCAGAAGACAAACCCUAAGACUUUACUACGUUUUCCUUCUUGGUCUCUUUCACUAGUUCAUUUUCCUCUUGCUAAAAUGCUACGGUACUCCAGGGCAAGGCUCACCAGUCUCAUCCUAUUUAUUUACACCAUUUUAAUAGGGUACCUCAAACAGUUCAUAUCUUUAAAUAUCAUCAAUGUGUCAGUGUUCCUAUAUUUAGUUUUCUGUGAUUGGUGUCUCCACAGACCUUUAGACUCGUGCAUCAAACUUCCUACAUGAUUUCCCAUUUAAAUAUUUGUUUGUUCGUUUGUUUGUUUGGUUUGUAUGUUUAUUUUAUGGCUGCACCUGCAGCAUAUGGAAGAGUUCCCAGACCAGGGACUGAAUCUGAGCUGUAGCUUCAACCUAUACCACAGUUGUGGCCAGAUCCUUUAACUCACUGUGCUGGAUCAGGGAUUGAACCUACACCUCUGCAGCAACCCAAGCCACUGCACUUGGAUUCUUAACCCACUGUACCACAGUAGGAACUCCAUAAACAUCUUAUAUUAAAUGUAUCUUAAAUAAAAAUAUUGAUUAUCAGCUUCAGAUAACAAAAUGUUCUUUCUCAGUUGUGUUAGCCCAUGCCUUCAAAGAAGCAGAAACCUAUAUGAGAGUAAAUGUGCAAGAUUUUAAGAGAGAGCAUUACUUCCCUGUAAUAACAAAUUAACACAAACUUGGUGCUUUAAAAGAAAAACAAUUUAUUUUCUAGCAAUUUUGGAAGGCAGAAGUCCAAGGACUCACUGCCUCUGGACACUGCAGAUAUAAUUCCAUCCUUUGACCCUUACAGCUCUUGGUACCCAUUUAUAAACCUUGGCUUCCUUGGAAAAUGGUCACAUCACUCCUAUCUUCACCUCGGUGGUUACAUUUCCAUCUUCUCUUUUCUCUAUCUUUUUGUCUUUGGCUCAAAAACUCCUCUGUGUUGUCCCCCCCCCCACGCCUGUUUUUUGUUGUUGUUUUUCCUUUUUUUUUUAAGUUUUAUCAAAGUGUAGUUGAUUUAAAACAUUGUGAUAGUUUCUGCUCUACAACAAAGUGAUUCCAUUAUAAAUAUACACACAUUCAUUCUUUUUCAGAUUCUUUUACCUUAUAUAUUAUCACAUAAUUUUGGGUAGAGUUCCCUGUGCUACACAGCAGGUCCCAAUUGGCCCAUCAAUCCUUAUACUAUAGUCUGUGGAUUUAGGCCACCCAGAUAAUCAAGCAUUAUAGCUUCCUCUCAGAAUUCUUAAUUUAAAAAUAUCUUCAAAGACUGUUUUUCCAAGUAAGUUAAUAUUCACAGUUUCCAGGGUUUAAUAUGUGGAAUUAUCUUAAUGGGAGCCACCAUUUCACCUGCUACAGUCUAAAAAUUCAUGUGUAUCCUAUAUACAAAGUAGAUUCAACAUGUCUCUAAUUUCCCUAGUCUAAACCUAUUACAACAUAAAUUCCAUGUCCUUAAUAUCAUCUACAUAUGAUGAGCUUAAAAGUUAACAUAUUAUCACUCAUUUAACUCUUAUGUCAGAUAUAGGAUAGACUCUGGGAAUGAUCCACCUUGAGACAAAAUUGCUCUCCAUUUGUGGAAUUGUCAAAAUGGAAAAAAAAGUUAUCUGCUUCCAAAAUACCAAGGGGGCACUAUCAUAGGAUAGACAUUUUCAUUCCAAAAAGGAGAAGUUGUAAGUAAUAAUGUUUUAAAAAGUCACCAGUCCAAGCAAAUUUAAAAUCUAGCAAGACACAUUUUCUUAUGUUUCAAGGCCUUAGCAUAAUUAUUUGAUACUCAUAGCUCCACUGUCUGGGCAUGUGUCUCCACUGUUUGGGCCUGAGACUCCAUUUGUCUCGAUUUCAAUAUUGUUCUUCCUUUUCCUUGAGGAAUCACACGUUUGCUGCUAAGUAGCUGUACAUUCCUGUUGCUUAUCUACAGAAUUUUGGAACUCUAACAGUUUUCUAUCAUAUCUUCCUAACCAGCUGCUUCCAAAACAAGCUGGCCUUAUUCCUGCUGGUAUAACAGUCUCAAUGACCCUGUAGGUCUUCUGUGUAUGUCAUGGUAAUCCAGAUCAUUAGACAAGAAGGUCUUUAACACAUCUUUCUUGGAUAACCCUAUCUCUGUUCUUAAUUUCAUUAAAGUCUUUGAAUUGAGCCAUAAUUCAUAAACUUUCAGCAUAAAGUUGUCCAGACAUACUCUUGGCUCUAUCUCCAGAGCACACUGUCUCAACAGUGAACCUUCAAACUUAACAGUUUUUGUUUGUUUUGCAAUUUGGACAGGCUGAGAAAUUCUCAAUUCACCAACUGAUGAUUGUUUUUUGCUUAACAGUUCCUUCCUCAAUUUAUCUUUUCCAUCUUACCUUUCUACUACAAACAGGAAAAGGAUACCACUAUCAAAGCUUUUGUUUGGAAAUCACCUUAGCAAAAUAUGAAAGUCCACCAUUUAAAAAAAUCUGCUUUCCGUAUAACAAGAAAAAAUAAUUCAACCAUGUUUCUAGGCACAAUGUUUCUAGGGAUUGUCUUUCCUUAGAUUUCCAAUUACUUGUUCAUCAUUUCUUUCUGGGCCAUCUCUAGAAGUACAUUUAACAUCCAAUAUUCUAUUUAUGACAAUAUAUAUUUUUCUCUAAGGAAUUACACACUCUCUACCAUGCUCCUUAUUCUCAUCUAAGUCUUCACCAGAAUUGACUUUAGCACCAACAAUCUUUUCAAAAGCAAUCCCGACAUUUUCUACCAUGCUUCUCCAAGUCCUUCCAGCCUUUAACCAUUACCUAAUUCUAAAACCACAUCUACGUAUUUAGGUAUUUGUUACAUCUAUACUCCACUUCUUGGUUCCACAAUCUGCAACAGUUUCUUUUGGCUGUUAUUAAAAAAGAAACAAGC
RNAcentral lists this long non-coding RNA (6640 nucleotides) under Sus scrofa (pig). RNAcentral describes it as "lncRNA (ENSSSCG00000059945.1)". The record is from RNAcentral. Lineage: Eukaryota; Metazoa; Chordata; Mammalia; Artiodactyla; Suidae.